Molecule: ribosomal RNA, 447 nt
Filed under: uncultured bacterium
Lineage: Bacteria
Description: partial 16S ribosomal RNA
Rfam family: Bacterial small subunit ribosomal RNA
Source: RNAcentral
AGCGAACGCUGGCGGCAGGCUUAACACAUGCAAGUCGAACGCCCCGCAAGGGGAGUGGCAGACGGGUGAGUAACACGUGGGAACGUACCCUUUGGUUCGGAAUAACUUGGGGAAACUCAAGCUAAUACCGGAUAAGCCCUUAUGGGGAAAGGUUUACUGCCGAAGGAUCGGCCCGCGUCUGAUUAGCUAGUUGGCGAGGUAAUGGCUCACCAAGGCGACGAUCAGUAGCUGGUCUGAGAGGAUGAUCAGCCACACUGGGACUGAGACACAGCCCAGACUCCUACGGGAGGCAGCAGUGGGGAAUAUUGGACAAUGGGGGCAACCCUGAUCCAGCCAUGCCGCGUGAGUGAUGAAGGCCUUAGGGUUGUAAAGCUCUUUUACCCGGGACGAUAAUGACUGUACCGGGAGAAUAAGCCCCGGCUAACUACGUGCCAGCAGCCGCGGUAA